CCCAAGGGAAGAAAGUGGGAAUCCAGGAAGAGAACUCAGAGGCGCUCUGCAGGUGCCGUGAGAACGGCAGUGAUAGCUGGACACAGCCAGACUGGGUGGCCUCAUGGGAGAACAUACACACCCGUCUCACUCUCCUUCUUCCCUCCUCCAACCCCCUGGAGGAUUCUCUAUGGGCCAAACCCAGCUGGAAGGCAGAGGAGCCCAGAACUUGAUGUGAGGUCCCCAACUGUCACCCAAGAUCAAGGUGGAGAGAGGAGGACAACAGAUCAGCAACACACGACUCCCUCCAGGGCUCCAGGUCAUGGCAAACUGGAAGAUUCCGCUGUGCACGCCUCUGCUCUCCGCUGAUCACACCCCACACUACUGCCUGGAUGCCGGGCAGCGUAAUGAACACCAAGAUAUCAGACGCAGCCCCACCUCCCGAGAGCUUUCAUUGACUCUGGAGAUGGACAGCCUCUCCAACAAUUUGCUGAGAUGAAGAGAUUUCUACGGAGUUCUUUCGGUUUAGGAACUUACAGGUUAACUCUUUACUGCUCAAGCCUUUAGACAGUCCACUCGUGCUGCUUCUGAAAAUAUAUUUGGAGCAAAGCAUUCACAACGGGGAACGAUUCAACGCACGCAGAUGUUCCUUGCAAUAGUGUUUAGAACAAAAAAUGCAGAUUGUAUGGCAAUAUGAGAAGAGUAAAAAUUACAGUGUUAAAUGAAAAAACCAGGAUAUAAACUCAACUAUGUAGAAAUGCACAAAAGACUAGAAGGAAAUAUAUAUGACCAAUGAAAAACUCAUUAGUAUUUUUCUUCAUUUUCAAAAAUUUUCAUAUAUGUGCAUGCUGUAAUGUUUGAUGUUAGAACGUGAGCUAAGGCCCAGCAUUGUGGUGUAGCAGUUAAAACCACCAUAUGAGGCACUGGCAUCCCAUAUGGGUGCCAGUUCUAGUCCUGGCUGCUCCGCUUCUAAUCCAGCUCCCUGCUAAUGGCCUGGGAAAAGCAGCAGAAGAUGGUCCAAAUGUUUGGGCCCCUGCCGCCCCCUUGGGAUACCUGGAAGAAGCUCCUGGCUCCUGUCUUUAGCCUGGCUCAGCUCUGGCCAUUGCAGUCAUCCAGGGAGUGAACCAGCAGCUAGAAGACCUCUCUCUCUCUCUCUCUCUCUCUC
Molecule: long non-coding RNA, 1144 nt
Organism: Lepus europaeus (European hare)
Lineage: Eukaryota; Metazoa; Chordata; Mammalia; Lagomorpha; Leporidae
Exons: 3
Source: RefSeq, a predicted model, not a curated record